AUCCAGCUGAUAAGUCCCAUAUAGGAUGAAACGCGUGUUCUGGAU
RNAcentral lists this non-coding RNA (45 nucleotides) under Schistosoma curassoni. Lineage: Eukaryota; Metazoa; Platyhelminthes; Trematoda; Strigeidida; Schistosomatidae. The record is from RNAcentral.